Molecule: ribosomal RNA, 689 nt
Filed under: uncultured bacterium
Lineage: Bacteria
Description: bacterial SSU rRNA
Rfam family: Bacterial small subunit ribosomal RNA
Source: RNAcentral
AGAGUUUGAUCCUGGCUCAGAACGAACGCUGGCGGCGUGGAUUAGGCAUGCAAGUCGAACGAGAAUCCCGUGAACGGAAGCUUCGGCCGAAGGGAUCGGGAGGACAGUGGCGAACGGGUGAGUAACGCGUAAGCAAUCUACCCUUGACUGGGGAAUAACCCCGCGAAAGCGGGGCUAAUACCGCAUACGAUCUUCCGGCGACAUCGCCGGAUUAUUAAAGAUGUGUUCCUUUUAGGGAUAUGUCGGUCGAGGAUGAGCUUGCGUCCUAUUAGCUUGUUGGUAGGGUAACGGCCUACCAAGGCUUUGAUGGGUAGCUGGUCUGAGAGGAUGGUCAGCCACACUGGGACUGAGACACUGCCCAGACUCCUACGGGAGGCUGCAGUCGAGAAUCAUCCGCAAUGGGCGAAAGCCUGACGGUGCGACGCCGCGUGGAGGAUGAAGGCCUUCGGGUUGUAAACUCCUUUCACCCGGGAAGAAAAAUCAUCCCGUGAACAACGGGAUGACCUGACGGUACCGGGAGAAGAAGCCCUGGCUAACUCCGUGCCAGCAGCCGCGGUAAUACGGAGAGGGCGAGCGUUGUUCGGAUUUACUGGGCGUAAAGGGCAUGUAGGCGGCUUGAUAAGCUCCGGGUGAAAUUUCCGCGCUCAACGCGGAACAGAGUCGGAGAACUAUCAGGCUUGAGUUCAGGA